This 256-nucleotide ribosomal RNA is filed under the name uncultured bacterium. Its description in RNAcentral is "partial 16S ribosomal RNA". It matches the Rfam family "Bacterial small subunit ribosomal RNA", at positions 524 to 776 of the family's 1533-position model. The record is from RNAcentral.
UACGAAGGGGGCGAGCGUUAUUCGGAAUGAUUGGGCGUAAAGAGUUCGUAGGCCGUUGUUUUGGUUAUGUGUAAAACACUGAAUUUAUUCUUUAGAAAUGCACUUAAAACUUUAUUACUUGAGUAAGGCAGAGGAUAACAGAAUUUUAGUGUGGUAGGGGUAAAAUCCAGUGACUCGUGAAGGAAUGUCUGCGGCGAAAGCGGUUAUCUGGGUCUUUUACUUACGCUGAGGGACGAAAGCGUAGGGAGCAAACAGG